This 69-nucleotide transfer RNA is filed under the name Exoglossum maxillingua (cutlips minnow). RNAcentral's name for it is "tRNA-Glu". It matches the Rfam family "tRNA". From Rfam's summary of the family: Transfer RNA (tRNA) molecules are approximately 80 nucleotides in length. Lineage: Eukaryota; Metazoa; Chordata; Actinopteri; Cypriniformes; Leuciscidae. The record is from RNAcentral.
GUUCCUGUAGUUGAAUUACAACGGUGUUUCUUCAAGUCAAUAGUCCCGGUUAAAGUCCGAGCAGGAAUU